RNAcentral lists this non-coding RNA (864 nucleotides) under Phrynocephalus mystaceus (secret toadhead agama). The record is from RNAcentral. Lineage: Eukaryota; Metazoa; Chordata; Lepidosauria; Squamata; Agamidae.
UGACUCAUUAAAACUAGGAAACAAACUGGGAUUAGAUACCGCAAGCCUCAGCAUCCCAGUGAAAUCUGCCUAUAAAACAAAAUGUAAACAGAGCUGGCAUCAGGGGGCCCCUAAGACGCCAAGCUUCGCCACAUCCACACGGACAUGCAGCAGUAACUAACAUUUAACAAUGAGCCCAAGCUCGAUUAAGCUAUGGUUAAUUAGGGUUGGCAAAUCUCUGUGCCAGCCGCCGCGGUUACACAGAAGACCCAAAAUAGCAUUGCCGGUAAAAAAAUGACUAAAAUUCCAAAACCCUACAAAUAAGAUAAACACAAAGCUGAACCGUUAAAUAGCACUUACAAUAACCACAAAACUAUCUUAUAUUAAGGACAUUUUGACUCAUUAAAACUAGGAAACAAACUGGGAUUAGAUACCCCACUAUGCCUGGAAAUAAACAUAAAUGCCAAAAGAGUACAAACACAAGCUCAAAACUUAAAAGACCUGGCGGUGUCCAAAAUCAACCUAGAGGAGCUUGUUAUAUAAUCGAUGAUCCACGUUAAACCUUACCUACUCUGGCAAAUCCAGCCUAUAUACCGCCGUCGACAGCCCAUUUUUCAAAAAAUAGAGCAACGCAGGUCCCCCCUAAAACGACAGGCCAAGGCGUAGCCUAUGAGUAGGACAAUAAUGGGCUACAUUACUAAACAUAACAAAAGCUUCACUGAAACACAGUUGACAAAGAAGAAUUUAGCAGUAAGAAGAAUUAGAGCGUUCUUCUGAACCAGGACAUUGGACACGCACACACCGCCCGUCACCCUCACCAUAGACCACUGUAGGAGAGGAAAGUCGUAACAUGGUAAGCGUACCAGAAGGUGUGCUUGGAAGCAA